This 554-nucleotide ribosomal RNA is filed under the name uncultured bacterium. RNAcentral describes it as "partial 16S ribosomal RNA". It matches the Rfam family "Bacterial small subunit ribosomal RNA", at positions 355 to 900 of the family's 1533-position model. The record is from RNAcentral.
UAGGGAAUCUUCGGCAAUGGGGGCAACCCUGACCGAGCAACGCCGCGUGAGUGAAGAAGGUUUUCGGAUCGUAAAGCUCUGUUGUAAGUCAAGAACGGGUGUGAGAGUGGAAAGUUCACACUGUGACGGUAGCUUACCAGAAAGGGACGGCUAACUACGUGCCAGCAGCCGCGGUAAUACGUAGGUCCCGAGCGUUGUCCGGAUUUAUUGGGCGUAAAGCGAGCGCAGGCGGUUUGAUAAGUCUGAAGUUAAAGGCUGUGGCUCAACCAUAGUUCGCUUUGGAAACUGUCAAACUUGAGUGCAGAAGGGGAGAGUGGAAUUCCAUGUGUAGCGGUGAAAUGCGUAGAUAUAUGGAGGAACACUGGUGGCGAAAGCGGCUCUCUGGUCUGUAACUGACGCUGAGGCUCGAAAGCGUGGGGAGCGAACAGGAUUAGAUACCCUGGUAGUCCACGCCGUAAACGAUGAGUGCUAGGUGUUGGAUCCUUUCCGGGAUUCAGUGCCGAAGCUAACGCAUUAAGCACUCCGCCUGGGGAGUACGACCGCAAGGUUGAAAC